GGAGGGAUGGCAGAGCGGUAAUGCAACGGAUUGCUAAUCCGUCAACGUGUAACAGCGUUGCGGGGGUUCGAGUCCCCCUCCCUCCGCCA
This 89-nucleotide transfer RNA is filed under the name Rhodospirillaceae bacterium. RNAcentral describes it as "tRNA-Ser". It matches the Rfam family "tRNA". Rfam says of the family: Transfer RNA (tRNA) molecules are approximately 80 nucleotides in length. Lineage: Bacteria; Pseudomonadati; Pseudomonadota; Alphaproteobacteria; Rhodospirillales; Rhodospirillaceae. The record is from RNAcentral. RNAcentral also lists the same sequence under 1 other name.